GCGCAGCAGUUGCGAAAACUUGUCAAUGCACGAAAGUGUGAACGGGCUACCCCGAGUGCCACCCGCUGAGGGUGGCUUUUCCACAGUCUAAAAAGCUGUGGGAAUAAGGAGAGGGCAAGUCUGGUGUCAGCCGCCGCGGUAAUACCAGCUCUCCGAGUGGUAGGGAUGAUUAUUGGGCUUAAAGCGUCCGUAGCUGGCCUUUCAAGUCUCUUGUUAAAUCCAGCGAUUCAAUCGUUGGACUGCGGGAGAUACUGUUAGGCUAGGGGGCGGGAGAAGCCGACGGUAUUUCCGGGGUAGGGGUAAAAUCCUAUAAUCCCGGGAAGACCACCAGUGGCGUAGGCGGUCGGCUAGCACGCGCUCGACAGUGAGGGACGAAAGCUGGGGUAGCGAACCGGAUUAGAUACCCCGGUAGUCC
This 415-nucleotide ribosomal RNA is filed under the name uncultured crenarchaeote. Its description in RNAcentral is "partial 16S ribosomal RNA". It matches the Rfam family "Archaeal small subunit ribosomal RNA", at positions 330 to 747 of the family's 1478-position model. Lineage: Archaea; Thermoproteati; Thermoproteota. The record is from RNAcentral.